UUUACAGAGAGCUUUGUUUUUCUUCAGAGUGUUAUUUUUCUUCUUUGUUUUCCUUUUUCAGAUAAGUGCUCACUGUGUUGCCCAAGCUAGCCCCUGGGUUCAAGUGACCCACCCAACUCAACUUGGGACAAUGGCAAGGUGCCCAGGCUGGGAUCCCCGGCAAGGGAGCAAGCUGGAGUUCCUAGUGUAGAGAGGGGCAGCAACAUACAUAGAGACCAUAGCAAGCCGCUACUUCAUGGAGUCCUGGAUGUGUCAGGCCCCUUGGGGACACCCUGUGAAGAGCGCCACCAUCACUAGGUGUUCCACAGAGAGAGAAAGGAAGGCCUGGAGAGGUCACGUGACAUGCCCACGGUGACUCAGCUGCAGACAGGGAUGGGGAUUUGAAUCUGUUGUACCCCCCCUAGAUUUGCAAUUCCGUGUCCCAUAAGUCCUCCUCAAGGGAACAUACAGGCGUCACCAAAAAUUACUACUGCAUCUGAGAGGAUGUGGGAUCGGGGUAGAGCCCAGGGUUUUACACAUGCUCAGCAACUGCUCCAUCCGUGAUCUACAUCUGGGCCAGGGACUCGGAAAAAAAAACUAAUGGGCAGCGCCUCAUCGCCUAAGAACCGAAACCUCAGGAGAGGCCAAAGCAUCCUAAAGCCACUGAACAGAGAAUGGAGCCACUGAACGGAGAAGCUCCUGAGAACAGGUGGGGUGCAUCCUAAAGCCACUGAAUGGAGACGCUCCCGAGAGCAGGCGGGGUGCAUCCUAAAGCCACAGACUGAGGAGCUCGAGAGCAGGCCGGGCUAAGUCAGUCACAUUUACAUUACACGUGGCACAGAGGACAGCAUGGCAGGUAACCAGGAGGGAACUAGGGAGACACUGCGGGAGGAGGAGGCACUGGAUGCUAAAUCUCCAGUCCAGCGGGGAGCAGGGGCAGGUGUUCUGCUUGGCUCUGGCCGUGCAGCCCGCGCCUACUAGGUCAUCUGCUGACGUCACCAGGAAGUGGACACGGUGCUGAAAUACUUGACAUUUGAGGUUUGGGGAUUUGAGGCAGGAUGAAUAGAGGUACGGCUAUUGGCUCCUUCCUUGGGGAAGACCCUGAGUUGGGCUAUUUAUUUAUUUAUUUUAGCGACAAGGCCUAUGUUGUCCAGGCUGGCUCUGAAUUUUGCCUCUGCAAUUGUCAAGUAGUUGGCACCGUAACAGGUGCCACUGCACCAGCUGCCACAUUGCCACUGGGAAGGUUGGUGUUGUCAUCUUGACACCCUCUAGAACAGCAGUUCACCACCUGUGGGUCAUGACCCCUUCCAGGGGGGACUAACAACCCUUUCACUGGGUCACCUAAGACUGUCUGAAAACACAAAUAUUUACAUUACUGCUAAACUAUUUCUUCGCCGGUAAAAAUGAACCAACUCAAGACAGAUUAGAAUAUAUUAAAUGCAGGUUUAUUGGGAAGCUGCUCUCGGGUGGGUGAGUUCACUGGCCCCAAGGAAGGAAGCCAGGGUCACCAUGGGAAGGUAGAGAGAGAAACAGAGACAGAGAGGGAGGAGAGAGGGAGAAAGGGAGAGAAAGAGAAAAAUGGAAAGAGGGAGAGAAAGAAGGAGAGGGGGGAGAAGAAAAAGAAAAGAAGUGAGGAUUUGAAGGGAGAAGGAGACCAAAAUGAUUUCUGGCUUAUAUAUUGAAGAGCCUCUGGGAGAAGAGCAGCCCAGCCUCUGGGCUGCAAAUUCAGGGUAUGGGGGCAGAGUGUGCUAGGUAGGGACCAAGGGAUUCUGAGAGAUCCUGGAGGCCAGGUCUGCUUUAAUGUUAAAAUAUGCACCUCAGUUUCUUGUCCCGGGUCUGAAACCAAACAGUUAUGAUUCACAAUAUUAGCAAAAUUACAGUUUUGAAGUAGCAACAAAAAUGACUUUUAUGGUUGGGGGUCACCACAACUGCAUUAAAGGGUCGCGUCAUUAGGAAGGUUGACAACCACUGUUCUAGAAUCACCAGGGAGACACGCCUCCAGGUGCAUGUGCAAGGGAUUAUUUAGCCUGUCAUUAGACCGAGGUGUGGAGACCCAGCCUGAAAGUGAGCUUGGGUCCUGGAUUGAGUAAGGGAGAAAACGUGCUGAACAUAAACAUCCCUCAUCAGCUGCAUCCCUCAUCAUCAGCUGCAUCCCUCAUCAGCUGCAUCCCUCAUCAGCUGCAUCCCUCAUCAGCUGCAUCCCUCAUCAUGUGGCUGUGGUGUGCCUACCUGAUUCUGGCUUCUGCUCUGUCAGACCAGUCCCUGAACUGUGAGCUCAUGUAAAUUCUUUCUUUGUUGAUUUUCCUUUGUCGUGGUACUUUAAACAAGCACUGAUUGAUUACUAUUAACUAUUGUGAAUUGUAUAUUGAACUGUGGUCUGAAUUAAAUCCUUUCUUCAUUGAUUUUCCUUUGUCAGGGUACUUCAAAUAAGUAUUAGUACUUAUUAUCAUCAUUGUUAUUAUUGUUAUCAUUAUUAUUUGUUAUUAUUAAUUGUUAUUAUUAUUGUUGUUGUUGUUGUGUGAGAGAGGUGUGUGGGAUGUGCACUUGUGUGUAUCUUAUUACUGCAAUGGAAAUAGAAACUAAGACAGAAAAUUGAUCCAGAGAGGUGAGCUCACGCUGUGAUGAGCCAGCCUGAGCCUGUGUGGAUCUUAAGCCUCUGGAAUUGUUUGUGGAGGGAAUGUGGAACCAUCUGAAAGUUCAGGCUAAUAAAGACCUCGCACAGAGGAAGCAGAA
RNAcentral lists this long non-coding RNA (2712 nucleotides) under Mus musculus (house mouse). RNAcentral's name for it is "predicted gene, 37120 (Gm37120)". The record is from RNAcentral. Lineage: Eukaryota; Metazoa; Chordata; Mammalia; Rodentia; Muridae.